This 752-nucleotide ribosomal RNA is filed under the name Shewanella sp. R3-Ret-T12-2a. Its description in RNAcentral is "bacterial SSU rRNA". It matches the Rfam family "Bacterial small subunit ribosomal RNA", at positions 1 to 739 of the family's 1533-position model. Lineage: Bacteria; Pseudomonadati; Pseudomonadota; Gammaproteobacteria; Alteromonadales; Shewanellaceae. The record is from RNAcentral.
CUAUCCUGGCUGAGUUUGAUCCUGGCUCAGAUUGAACGCUGGCGGCAGGCCUAACACAUGCAAGUCGAGCGGAAACACAAGGGAGCUUGCUCCUGAGGUGUCGAGCGGCGGACGGGUGAGUAAUGCCUAGGUAUCUGCCCAGUCGAGGGGGAUAACAGUUGGAAACGACUGCUAAUACCGCAUACGCCCUACGGGGGAAAGGAGGGGACCUUCGGGCCUUUCGCGAUUGGAUGAACCUAGGUGGGAUUAGCUAGUAGGUGGGGUAAUGGCUCACCUAGGCAACGAUCCCUAGCUGGUCUGAGAGGAUGAUCAGCCACACUGGAACUGAGACACGGUCCAGACUCCUACGGGAGGCAGCAGUGGGGAAUAUUGCACAAUGGGCGAAAGCCUGAUGCAGCCAUGCCGCGUGUAUGAAGAAGGCCUUCGGGUUGUAAAGUACUUUCAGCGAGGAGGAAAGGUAGGUAGUUAAUAACUGCUUACUGUGACGUUACUCGCAGAAGAAGCACCGGCUAACUUCGUGCCAGCAGCCGCGGUAAUACGAGGGGUGCAAGCGUUAAUCGGAAUUACUGGGCGUAAAGCGUACGCAGGCGGUUUGUUAAGCAAGAUGUGAAAGCCCCGGGCUCAACCUGGGAACUGCAUUUUGAACUGGCAAACUAGAGUCUUGUAGAGGGGGGUAGAAUUUCAGGUGUAGCGGUGAAAUGCGUAGAGAUCUGAAGGAAUACCGGUGGCGAAGGCGGCCCCCUGGACAAAGA